UGGGGAAUAUUGCACAAUGGAGGGAACUCUGAUGCAGCGACGCCGCGUGAGUGAUGAAGGACUUCGUUUCGUAAAACUCUGUUCUAUGGGAAGAAAAGGACUGUACCAUAGGAGAAAGCUCCGGCUAAAUACGUGCCAGCAGCCGCGGUAAUACGUAUGGAGCGAGCGUUGUCCGGAAUUAUUGGGCGUAAAGGGUGCGCAGGCGGCUUUACAAGUUGGAUGUGAAAUAUUGUGGCUCAACCACAAACGUGCAUCCAAAACUGCAAAGCUUGAGUUAAGGAGAGGUAAGUGGAAUUCCGGGUGUAGCGGUGGAAUGCGUAGAUAUCAGGAGGAAUACCGGUGGCGAAGGCGACUUACUGGACUUAAACUGACGCUCAGGCACGAAAGCGUGGGGAGCAAACAGG
This 404-nucleotide ribosomal RNA is filed under the name Fusobacteriota bacterium. Its description in RNAcentral is "Fusobacteria bacterium partial 16S ribosomal RNA". It matches the Rfam family "Bacterial small subunit ribosomal RNA", at positions 355 to 776 of the family's 1533-position model. Lineage: Bacteria; Fusobacteriati; Fusobacteriota. The record is from RNAcentral.